GGUGGCUCAGUGGUAGAGUGCUUGCCUUGCAUGCAUAAGGGCCUGGGUUCGAUUCCUCAGCACCA
This 65-nucleotide transfer RNA is filed under the name Dipodomys ordii (Ord's kangaroo rat). It matches the Rfam family "tRNA". Rfam says of the family: Transfer RNA (tRNA) molecules are approximately 80 nucleotides in length. Their secondary structure includes four short double-helical elements and three loops (D, anti-codon, and T loops). The record is from Rfam by way of RNAcentral. Lineage: Eukaryota; Metazoa; Chordata; Mammalia; Rodentia; Heteromyidae.